CCUACGGGUGGCUGCAGUGGGGAAUAUUGGGCAAUGGGCGCAAGCCUGACCCAGCAACGCCGCGUGAAGGAAGAAUGCUUUCGGGUUGUUAACUUCCUUUUAGAGGGAAGAGCAGAAGACGGUACCUCUUGAAUAAGCUAUGGCUAACUACGUGCCAGCAGCCGCGGCAAUACGGAGGUGGCAAGCGUUAUCCGGAUUUACUGGGUGUAAAGGGCGUGCAGCCGGGAAGACAAGUCAGAUGUGAAAUCCCGCGGCUCAACCGCGGAACUGCAUUUGAAACUGUUUUUCUUGAGUACCGGAGAGGUCAGCGGAAUACGUUGUGUAGCGGUGAAAUGCGUAGAUAUAAGGAAGAACACCAGUGGCGAAGGCAGAUGACUGGACGGCAACUGACGGUGAGGCGCGAAAGCGUGGGGAGCAAACAGGAUUAGAUACCCCAGUAGUC
This 442-nucleotide ribosomal RNA is filed under the name uncultured bacterium. Its description in RNAcentral is "partial 16S ribosomal RNA". It matches the Rfam family "Bacterial small subunit ribosomal RNA", at positions 338 to 795 of the family's 1533-position model. The record is from RNAcentral.